CACCUUUUUAAAAUCGCUGACCCGGACGGCAGGUGAGGUUUGUUCAAACAGAAGUUCCUGAUGCAUGCACAAUGUCAUUUUGCAAUGAAGAAUAAUUUGCAGUGCAUGCUGAUUCUAAAUCAGUUAUAGUUAGUGACUAGGGAGACUUGGGUAGGAGUAACGCAAGUAAUGUAGAUGACUUAGGCCUAUUGGAUAUUGGAGGUAUAUAUGAGUACGGAUUAAUCAUACAAGCAAAAAAAAAAAAAA
Molecule: long non-coding RNA, 246 nt
Organism: Centruroides sculpturatus (bark scorpion)
Lineage: Eukaryota; Metazoa; Arthropoda; Arachnida; Scorpiones; Buthidae
Exons: 2
Source: RefSeq, a predicted model, not a curated record